AGAGUUUGAUCCUGGCUCAGGAUGAACGCUGGCGGCGUGCCUAACACAUGCAAGUCGAGCGAGAAACUUUGGAUAGAUCCUUCGGGUGAAAGAAAAAGUGGACAGCGGCGGACGGGUGAGUAACGCGUGGGAAACCUGCCCUAUACAACGGGAUAGCCUCGGGAAACCGGGAUUAAUACCGUAUAAAACUCUAGCAUCGCAUGGUGCAUGAGUCAAAACUCCGGUGGUAUAGGAUGGUCCCGCGUCCCAUUAGCUAGUUGGUAAGGUAAAAGCUUACCAAGGCGACGAUGGGUAGCCGGCCUGAGAGGGUGAACGGCCACACUGGAACUGAGACACGGUCCAGACUCCUACGGGAGGCAGCAGUGGGGAAUAUUGCACAAUGGAGGGAACUCUGAUGCAGCGACGCCGUGUGAGUGAUGAAGGUUUUCGGAUCGUAAAACUCUGUCCUAAGGGAAGAUAAUGACGGUACCUUAGGAGGAAGCCCCGGCUAACUACGUGCCAGCAGCCGCGGUAAUACGUAGGGGGCGAGCGUUAUCCGGAAUUACUGGGCGUAAUGGGUACGCAGGCGGCCAAAUAAGUCAGGUGUGAAAGGUAUCGGCUCAACCGGUGCAAGCACUUGAAACUGUAUGGCUUGAGUACAGGAGAGGAAAGUGGAAUUCCUAGUGUAGCGGUGAAAUGCGUAGAUAUUAGGAGGAACACCAGUGGCGAAGGCGACUUUCUGGACUGAUACUGACGCUGAGGUACGAAAGCGUGGGGAGCAAACAGGAUUAGAUACCCUGGUAGUCCACGCUGUAAACGAUGAGUGCUAGGUGUUGGGGGUCGAACCUCAGUGCCGUAGCUAACGCAUUAAGCACUCCGCCUGGGGAGUACGGUCGCAAGACUGAAACUCAAAGGAAUUGACGG
RNAcentral lists this ribosomal RNA (903 nucleotides) under uncultured bacterium. Its description in RNAcentral is "bacterial SSU rRNA". It matches the Rfam family "Bacterial small subunit ribosomal RNA", at positions 8 to 916 of the family's 1533-position model. The record is from RNAcentral.